Molecule: microRNA, 22 nt
Filed under: Danio rerio (zebrafish)
Lineage: Eukaryota; Metazoa; Chordata; Actinopteri; Cypriniformes; Danionidae
Description: Dre-Mir-10-P1d1-v1_3p* (star (passenger))
Source: RNAcentral
CAAAUACGUCUCUACAGGAAUA